GGUCGGCGGCAGCUACCAUGCAGUCGAGCGGUAACAGAUCCAGCUUGCUGGAUGCUGACGAGCGGCGGACGGGUGAGUAAUGCAUAGGAAUCUGCCCGAUAGUGGGGGAUAACCUGGGGAAACCCAGGCUAAUACCGCAUACGUCCUACGGGAGAAAGGGGGCUUCGGCUCCCGCUAUCGGAUGAGCCUAUGUCGGAUUAGCUAGUUGGUGAGGUAACGGCUCACCAAGGCCACGAUCCGUAGCUGGUCUGAGAGGAUGAUCAGCCACAUCGGGACUGAGACACGGCCCGAACUCCUACGGGAGGCAGCAGUGGGGAAUAUUGGACAAUGGGGGGAACCCUGAUCCAGCCAUGCCGCGUGUGUGAAGAAGGCCCUCGGGUUGUAAAGCACUUUCAGCGAGGAAGAACGCCUAGCGGUUAAUACCCGCUAGGAAAGACAUCACUCGCAGAAGAAGCACCGGCUAACUCCGUGCCAGCAGCCGCGGUAAUACGGAGGGUGCAAGCGUUAAUCGGAAUUACUGGGCGUAAAGCGCGCGUAGGUGGCUUGAUAAGCCGGUUGUGAAAGCCCCGGGCUCAACCUGGGAACGGCAUCCGGAACUGUCAAGCUAGAGUGCAGGAGAGGAAGGUAGAAUUCCCGGUGUAGCGGUGAAAUGCGUAGAGAUCGGGAGGAAUACCAGUGGCGAAGGCGGCCUUCUGGACUGACACUGACACUGAGGUGCGAAAGCGUGGGUAGCAAACAGGAUUAACC
Molecule: ribosomal RNA, 747 nt
Filed under: Vreelandella aquamarina
Lineage: Bacteria; Pseudomonadati; Pseudomonadota; Gammaproteobacteria; Oceanospirillales; Halomonadaceae
Description: bacterial SSU rRNA
Rfam family: Bacterial small subunit ribosomal RNA
Source: RNAcentral